RNAcentral lists this ribosomal RNA (500 nucleotides) under uncultured bacterium. Its description in RNAcentral is "partial 16S ribosomal RNA". It matches the Rfam family "Bacterial small subunit ribosomal RNA", at positions 30 to 523 of the family's 1533-position model. The record is from RNAcentral.
AUUGAACGCUGGCGGCAUGCCUUACACAUGCAAGUCGAACGGCAGCACGGGAGCAAUCCUGGUGGCGAGUGGCGAACGGGUGAGUAAUAUAUCGGAACGUGCCCAGUCGUGGGGGAUAACGUAGCGAAAGCUACGCUAAUACCGCAUACGAUCUACGGAUGAAAGCGGGGGAUCGCAAGACCUCGCGCGAGUGGAGCGGCCGAUAUCAGAUUAGGUAGUUGGUGAGGUAAAGGCUCACCAAGCCGACGAUCUGUAGCUGGUCUGAGAGGACGACCAGCCACACUGGGGCUGAGACACGGCCCAGACUCCUACGGGAGGCAGCAGUGGGGAAUUUUGGACAAUGGGCGCAAGCCUGAUCCAGCAAUGCCGCGUGCAGGAUGAAGGCCUUCGGGUUGUAAACUGCUUUUGUACGGAACGAAACGGCGAGCUCUAAUACAGUUUGCUAAUGACGGUACCGUAAGAAUAAGCACCGGCUAACUACGUGCCAGCCGCCGCAGUAA